GAGAACUUAGGGGUUUGCUGGAUUUGAUCACUGCUACUGCUUAAUGCUUCCACUCUGCUUGAUUAUGAAAAUGGGGGAUUUAAAGAUGAUCAUGAAGGUGUUUACUUUUCUUUUCUUUUUUUUGUAGGGACAUUUGGUUAUUAACUAUGACCAGAAAGUCAUAGGUGGUUUCUACGAUGUGUAUGGGAUUACUUCUAAUUCUCUUUAACAAGGGAAGAUGUCAGUUCAAGGUUAUAACAAACGAUUAAAUGUAUGUUUUUUUAGAUUUGAAGAAACUGAUGUGAUCUAUGGAUUGGUUAUAACAUAUGCGCUUUGUGUGCGUAGACAUCAUCACUAAGCUUGAAGAGGCGUUAUUGCUUGAGCUAAAGAAAC
This 372-nucleotide long non-coding RNA is filed under the name Brassica rapa (field mustard). Its description in RNAcentral is "long non-coding RNA (BRAP_LNC001080)". The record is from RNAcentral. Lineage: Eukaryota; Viridiplantae; Streptophyta; Magnoliopsida; Brassicales; Brassicaceae.